UGCGGUGUGUUUUUCAAACUCAGUUCCCCAAUCGCCUUUGCACUGCGAGGUCUUCCUGCCACAUGCCGUUUGCUUCCAUCAGGGGUGUGUGUGUGAGAUGAGUAACGCCAAUGCUUUACAGGACUAACCCCUGAGCCACACAACAGCAGCUUCACCUUAGAGAAGCAGAAUAAAAAGGAAAAUGAGUCCAGCACAGCCUGUUUUUACGCACUGAUAAGAUCUGCGGGUCUUCCAGUGUGCAGGCUUGCGCACCACUGCGGCUCUGCCUGCCGUAGUGGGAGGGAUCCAUCCAGGCCAGGUCAGCCAGAGUAAUUUUGGAGCGAAAACGCACUUUACAAGUAAAUAGAGUGAGUCAUGUUUCUUGUUGGCAUAAAUGCAAAGCACGUAGGAGCAGGAAGUGUCUUUGUUUUUGUGCACGGGAGGGUGCUUUCAGGGCAGGUUAUCGCUGAGGUGCAUUUCUGGCCAAGUGAUAUAACAUCUUGUUCCGGCAGCGAGACCGUCUGACCUGGCAGAGGGGAAGCAAUUUCAUGCAGUUCAAUAUCAGAAUAAGGAGAUGAGAGGUGUGAGGAUGGCAGCAGCAACAAAUACAAGAGUCUGAAUAUGAGCGCCAUGUUAAAUAAAAUAAUUUCUUUGGUGCCUGUACUCUGGGCAGGCUGUCACACCGGAACCAGGAGAAGGUAUGUUCUGUCCCUCCCAUCCUGCGGAGAUCCCAGAUGGCUGCAGUGUCAGCUGAAGUCACUCUCUGCUCUGUAAUCUCUUUCUGAAGACUAGAGGAUAUUGGUUCAAAAGCCAGAAGCCUUCAGUGAAACUACUUAAGCGAAGGGCUAAUCAGGAGAGGAAAUAGAAGCUGAUUACCCCACCCACCUCUGAAGCCUCUGCUAGAGCCAUUUAUCAUAAUGUUUCUCAACAUUCUUGGGUUGGCAACUUUAUAGGAGGACUCAUUUUUGCA
This is a non-coding RNA of Phalacrocorax carbo (great cormorant), 949 nucleotides long. The record is from RefSeq and is a predicted model, not a curated record. Lineage: Eukaryota; Metazoa; Chordata; Aves; Suliformes; Phalacrocoracidae.